Molecule: long non-coding RNA, 374 nt
Filed under: Oryctolagus cuniculus (rabbit)
Lineage: Eukaryota; Metazoa; Chordata; Mammalia; Lagomorpha; Leporidae
Description: lncRNA (ENSOCUG00000037954.1)
Source: RNAcentral
AUGACGCGCAGCAUCCCCUUGCUAGCCGUGUGGGUAGGCUGUCUUGGCAGUGGGUUUGCCAGCCCUAGCCAAGCUGCCACAUGGAACAGAAAUGACUUGCUCUGUCGAACCUGCCCCAACUGUAGGUGCACCAAUAAGGUGCAGCCCUUCGGCUGGCAAGCACGGCCCUCUUCAAGUGCUCACCCUUCAUUUCCACUGGUUCCCCACAAGACCCUCCCUUGUUGGCGAGCUUCUCUCCAGGCUACAGGCAAAUUCAGACUGUGGACUUGGAUUUUCUUCGGCUGAGAAUCCACGACCUCCUGUGAUGGGUGUGUUUCAAGAUAAUUCUUCAGAAACUUGAUAAAAUAUGCUCAAUAAAGAAAAUGACACAAACA